RNAcentral lists this small nuclear RNA (108 nucleotides) under Chinchilla lanigera (long-tailed chinchilla). Lineage: Eukaryota; Metazoa; Chordata; Mammalia; Rodentia; Chinchillidae. The record is from RNAcentral.
AGGCUCAGUUUGGGACCACAUAUACUAAAAAUUGGAAGGAUGCAGAGACGAUCACCAUAGCCCCUUUGCAAAGGUGACACACAAAAUUGCAAAAUAUUCCACAUUUUA